GUUAGCCUAUUAGGCACAGAGCUAGCAUUAGCAAAGACGACGACGGUAAGCGUCAACAAGGUUUUUGUCUCCGCCGGAUAAUUGACUCGUCUUACCGACGUAACUCUCUCCUUCGUUCAGUCACUUGGCUCCGGACCUCCAGUGGGUGGUGAAGCCGUUACAAAGACGUUGAGAACCAGCAAGAGGAGUAGCAAGUCAUCAGUGGAGGAGGCUCAGUCUCUGCCUCCUGUGAAAGACCUUGUCCCUGAACCUGAAAAUGAUGAGUCUAGUCCAGGCGAGCAUUCAUUCAUCUACUCCCCCUCACGAAGAAGAACAAGAGCCCGUAAAGCAGAGUCUCCUGGCCCAGAUGAAGCGUCUGCAGCACCUGUCACUCGCAGCAGAAGAAGAGUCCAAGAUGUUGCUCCUCCGGAUCGUUGCCUCAGAAGAAGACCAUGUGCAAGUGGAGAAAGCAGCUAGUGUUCCUAAAACCAGAAAAUCAGGCCAACGAACAGCCAAAUCCAAAUCUGUUUCGGAGCCACUUCCCAUAGCAGAGGUCGACCUGCUCUCACCCCUGCCCAGUCCAGCUGAUCCGUUGCCCCGAACACAGAGGAGGACUAAGGAAGGAGAGGUCCCGACCACCAGCAUGAACCUUCGCCGCAAACGUGUAAUGGACACGGUUUUCACAAAACCCGUCACCCGGAGGAAGAGACUGUAAGGAGGUUGAUGGUGGUUUUAACCAGUGAACCUCAGACAGCCACCUGAAGAUCCGAACCAACUCAGUCACGAGCUGUCAAAUUAAAACGUAUGCCUAAUCUCAUGAUGGUUCUGUUUCCUCAAAUGCCUCAGAGCGCUGCAGUUUGUAUAUUAACUUCCCUGUAGGAAAAUGGAAGCAACGUAGGCAGCAAAGUAUAUUUUUGGGACAAAACACACUGGUGGGUAGCAGUGUGAGAAAGAGGACUAUAUUUUUGGAGUUUACAUGUCCCUCUCAUACUAAUUUGAUUUCACUUGAUAUUGUAUUUGUGGCCACUUUGUGUUGGACAUUUUGCGACGUUCCUCGGCUUGAUUCUAAGGGCACAGAAUGGCACAAAGGAAAUCAAUCAAAAUGAGGUUUUUAG
Long non-coding RNA from Amphiprion ocellaris (clown anemonefish), 1094 nucleotides. The record is from Ensembl. NCBI's taxonomy places the organism in Eukaryota, Metazoa, Chordata, Actinopteri, Pomacentridae.